This 85-nucleotide transfer RNA is filed under the name Felis catus (domestic cat). It matches the Rfam family "tRNA". From Rfam's summary of the family: Transfer RNA (tRNA) molecules are approximately 80 nucleotides in length. The record is from Rfam by way of RNAcentral. Lineage: Eukaryota; Metazoa; Chordata; Mammalia; Carnivora; Felidae. RNAcentral also lists the same sequence under 3 other names.
GCCUGGGUGGCUCAGUCGGUUGAGCGGCUGACUUCAGCUCAGGUCAUGAUCUCGUGGUUCAUGGGUUCGAGCCCCACGUCAGGCU